This 301-nucleotide ribosomal RNA is filed under the name uncultured bacterium. Its description in RNAcentral is "partial 16S ribosomal RNA". It matches the Rfam family "Bacterial small subunit ribosomal RNA", at positions 509 to 807 of the family's 1533-position model. The record is from RNAcentral.
CAGUCGCCACGGGAAAACGAAGGGGGCUAGCGUUACUCGGAAUUACUGGGCGUAAAGGGCGCGUAGGCGGCACGACUAGUCAGGCGUGAAAUUCCUGGGCUCAACCUGGGGACUGCGCUUGAUACGGUCGAGCUAGAGGAUGGAAGAGGGUCGUGGAAUUCCCAGUGUAGAGGUGAAAUUCGUAGAUAUUGGGAAGAACACCGGUGGCGAAGGCGGCGACCUGGUCCAUUACUGACGCUCAUGCACGAAAGCGUGGGGAGCAAACAGGAUUAGAUACCCCAGUAGUCCCUGUCUCUUAUAC